CCCCAACUCCCUGUUUCUUUAUAAUUUCUUUAUAAUUACAUGGCAAAUAUGUACCAUGACUCUGCAGCCACCGGUUCCACCUCUGAGCCCUUUAUUCUCAUAAAACAACUCCCAUUCCUUCUCUUCUGGGCUCAGGUUCAAACAACACAAAGCUCUCCUUUUUUGGAAGGGGCCACAAAAUGCCACUUCUGCAUCUUUAACAACCUGGUGAACUUUUUCCAUGUGUGCUCCUAGUCUCGUUUAUUUCUGACUUCUCUGAAACUUUGUUCCGGGAUUUGUCAAUAUUCUCUCUCUUAUAUCAUCAACACUCCUGUUUUUUUUUUUUUGUUGUUGUUUUUAUUAGUUAUUUCCCCCACCUAUAAACAAGCUUGGCUUUUUUCUCCUGUGAGGGAUUUUCUCCGAUUGGAUACAUCCUCAAGAAAGCUUGUUUCUUUCCUACGGUGUAUACUUUUCAGGAGAGUUUCAUAGACUAUUUUCCUCUCUUUCUCCUUUUAACAUUAAUCCCUUACUUUCUCACCAGGCUUUAUCUGCACUCCUCUGUGAUCAACUGAUUUCUUGAAGGGCCCAAGGUGCGGCCUAAGGAGGCACUCCUGAGACUUUUCCGCCAGGAUGAGUGUUGAUUGGCUCUUUGCAGCUCUUUUCCUUGACAAGUGCUCUCCACUGCCAUUUUGCCCUCCUACAUCUCUGACUGCAUUUCUGUUUUGUUCUGUGGCUUCCUUUCCCAUCCCCACUCCAUAAACAUUUCCUCCUUUAGCUCCUCUUUGUGGCAAUUGUAUUUACUCUAUAAUUCUAAGACAGAAGCUCUACAGACUUUUUAAUGUUUGACAUUAGACAUUUAACCGAAGGCAUUCUAGUGGGUGUGAGGUAGAGAUCAUGCGUCUCCACUGAUGACUAAUGAUGUUGAAUACUUUUUCAUGCACAUCUUAAUGCCAGUUUUAUUUAAGGAUAUGUAAAUAUGCCUCUUUGAAUUGUCUUUUCAAGUCUUUUGGCCAUCUCAUAUUGUAUACUUUGUAUUUCUUUACUGAGCACUGGAGGAGUGCUUUUCUACUUUCUGGAUGACAGCCUUUUGACAGAUGUAGGUCUUUCUUUUCAGUGCCUUGCCUACUCCUUUUCAAUGGUGUCUCUUGAGAACGUUGAUGUUUUCAUGUUGAUGCAGUCUAAUUUAUUUUAACUUAUGGCAGUUCUAUUUUAUCCAGAUAAGUAAAGAUAUUCUCUUGCAGGAUUGUAAAGUUAGUUUCCUGUGGUAUUCCCUGGGCGUUUGGAAAUGUAGGAUUUAUAUUCAUGUCUAUGAUGUGUCCCCUAUUAAUUUUUGAGUGUAACGUCAGGUAGUGGCUGAGGUUUAUUUUUGAUCCCUAGGAAUAUUGAAUUCUUCUGGCACCGUAAGUUAAAAACUAUUUUCCCCUUUGAAUUGUUGUGGAGGAGGUCAUCUGUAGAUGUGACCUCUGGGUGACCUGAAAGCUGGCCCCGGGCAGUCAGAGGCUCCUCACCCGCCCCCUCACCUGUCUUUGGAACUUUUGCUCUGCCCAUUGUUCCCACGUGGGAGCUGUUUACAAGGAUGCAGCCUUAAGAGAGUGAGGUAUUGUGGAGACAGCUGGGCGGGAGGCACGGCUGACCCCAGUUAAGGUCUAUUUAUGAAGUUGUAAGAUUCUGGAGAGCAUACAGGGAGAUCUACUCAUCUUACUGCCAAGAGAAGCCCGGGUUACAUGGGAUGGCUGAUAUAACCUACUGUAUCCUACGUGCCAGCAGAAGGCAUCUCCUGGGAUACUAAAGUUUGGAGUCCCUUUUGACUUAAGGUAGGAGGGAGAGUCUAUUUCCAGCUAUGGAAUCAAGGUCAGAAGCAGAAGUUCCAGUCCUUGCUAGAGAAGUAGAAGGAGGAGAUGGGGGAAAGAGGAGCAGGAAGACAAAGAGGAAGAAGAGGAAGAAAAAGAAGAGUCAGAGAAGAAGACACAAAGUGCCAAGAACUAUCAGGAAAUAUAAAAAUUGUGGGUGGCAUCUUACAAGCUUAGUUUUUAACAAGAGAGUUUCCUUCUGCCAUUGAAAUGGACAUUUAUUCAGCCCACUGAUAUUGAGCUAUAUAACUUUACUUUACCAGAGGAAAAUUGGAUCUGUCACUAGUUAAUUACGUUAGUUAAAUACCUUGAAAGGUGGUAGAAGUAAUUCACUGGGGGCAAUACCUGCCACAUUCUGACAUCUUUGUGUGGGUACAGUUAAUGAUCACCCCAUUACAAAUUUAAUCACAUGUAAAUAUAUACUGUGGCCCUUGGGACUCCAAUCAAAAUUCAACCCCAGGAAAAUGACAAUAUAAAAAAUAAAGGAGUCAAAUGUUUUCAGUAGCUCUUUUAAAAAAAUAGUUAAUCUUUGGGGAGUGCAAUAGGAAAGUUUUUCAAACCAGAUUGAUCAUUAGGAUAGAUAAAUAUUAACUCCAGAUGCACUAGAGAUUUCCUUCCUCUAUCUGUGGGCACCUCUUUAUUUCAGGGUGCCGUUAAGUCCAUAAAGUAUGACAUGGAGCUACCUGCUCUCAGAUCCCAGAUGUUGUGUGGUCAUUUUGGUACACCCCACAACCCAGUUCAAGGGUAAAUCACAGCCAAGGAUGGUCAUAUGGCUACAUUGUUUCCAAAUCUCUCAGAAAACUUCAACCUAAUGCAUUAAACUUCUCCUGCCAGAGUCAGACAUAGAACCAAUACUGUUCCCAAAAACACCCUGGCCAUUGGGUACACACCUGGUAAUAGAAUCAAGGCUUCAUACAGAUGGACAAGUACAUAGUGACUCUAGUUAGAACACCUGCUUGCAACUUAGGGAAGGUUUUCACGUCUUAACACAGUAGAUUUUCAACACAGGAAUGUUAACUGAUCUUAAUUCCCUGUAAAAGGAUGUAACAAUGAGGCUCACUCCAACCCCCCAAUGUAUUUCUGGUCAAACAUGAUGCCACAAUUUGGUGUUUUAGAAACAGUGUUUUGUUUUUUUUGUCAUAAUAGUUUGAAUAAAAUUUACUUAAGAAAACAACCUGCUAUAAAUAAAAAUUUAAAUCCACAUAGAAAUGGUUA
Molecule: long non-coding RNA, 3044 nt
Organism: Felis catus (domestic cat)
Lineage: Eukaryota; Metazoa; Chordata; Mammalia; Carnivora; Felidae
Exons: 4
Source: RefSeq, a predicted model, not a curated record